AACGAACGCUGGCGGCAUGCCUAACACAUGCAAGUCGAACGAGAUCUUCGGGUCUAGUGGCGCACGGGUGCGUAACGCGUGGGAAUCUGCCCUUUGGUUAGGAAUAACAGUUGGAAACGACUGCUAAUACCGGAUGAUGACGAAAGUCCAAAGAUUUAUCGCCAGAGGAUGAGCCCGCGUAGGAUUAGCUAGUUGGUGUGGUAAAGGCGCACCAAGGCGACGAUCCUUAGCUGGUCUGAGAGGAUGAUCAGCGAAACUGGGACUGGGACACGGCCCAGACUCCUACGGGAGGCAGCAGUGGGUAAUAUUGGACAAUGGGCGAAAGCUGGAUGCAGCAAUGCCGCGUGAGUAAUGAAGGCCGGAGGGUUGUAAAGCACUUUUACCCGGGAUGAUAAUGACAGUACCGGGAGAAUAAGCCCCGGCUAACUCCGUGCCAGCCGCCGCAGUAA
This 449-nucleotide ribosomal RNA is filed under the name uncultured bacterium. Its description in RNAcentral is "partial 16S ribosomal RNA". It matches the Rfam family "Bacterial small subunit ribosomal RNA", at positions 29 to 523 of the family's 1533-position model. The record is from RNAcentral.